RNAcentral lists this ribosomal RNA (301 nucleotides) under uncultured bacterium. RNAcentral describes it as "partial 16S ribosomal RNA". It matches the Rfam family "Bacterial small subunit ribosomal RNA", at positions 509 to 807 of the family's 1533-position model. The record is from RNAcentral.
CAGUCGCCGCGGUAAAACGUAGGGUGCGAGCGUUAAUCGGAAUUACUGGGCGUAAAGCGUGCGCAGGCGGUUAUAUAAGACAGAUGUGAAAUCCCCGGGCUCAACCUGGGAAUGGCAGUGGAUACUGGCAAGCUAGAGUGUGUCAGAGGAUGGUGGAAUUCCCGGUGUAGCGGUGAAAUGCGUAGAGAUCGGGAGGAACAUCAGUGGCGAAGGCGGCCAUCUGGGACAACACUGACGCUGAGGCACGAAAGCGUGGGGAGCAAACAGGAUUAGAUACCCCAGUAGUCCCUGUCUCUUAUAC